Molecule: ribosomal RNA, 328 nt
Filed under: uncultured eukaryote
Lineage: Eukaryota
Description: partial 18S ribosomal RNA
Rfam family: Eukaryotic small subunit ribosomal RNA
Source: RNAcentral
CCCUUAGAUGUCCUGGGCUGCACGCGCGCUACACUGAUGUGUCCAGUAAGCACCUAACCUCUUCCGAAAGGAACGGGUAACCUUUGCAAAGCACAUCGUGAUGGGGAUAGAUUAUUGCAAUUAUUAGUCUUGAACGAGGAAUUCCUAGUAAGCACAAGUCAUCAGCUUGUGUUGAUUACGUCCCUGCCCUUUGUACACACCGCCCGUCGCUACUACUGAUUGGAUGUUUAAGCGAGGUUCUCGAACUGCUAGCGACUUAGCUUCGGUGAGGUCGCAGUGUGGGAAGUGAACCUAGCUUUGGUGUCUAGAGGAAGUAAAAGUCGUAACA